RNAcentral lists this ribosomal RNA (439 nucleotides) under uncultured Gordonia sp. Its description in RNAcentral is "bacterial SSU rRNA". It matches the Rfam family "Bacterial small subunit ribosomal RNA", at positions 338 to 789 of the family's 1533-position model. The record is from RNAcentral. Lineage: Bacteria; Bacillati; Actinomycetota; Actinomycetes; Mycobacteriales; Gordoniaceae.
CCUACGGGAGGCAGCAGUGGGGAAUAUUGCACAAUGGGCGCAAGCCUGAUGCAGCGACGCCGCGUGAGGGAUGACGGCCUUCGGGUUGUAAACCUCUUUCGCUAGGGACGAAGCGUAAGUGACGGUACCUGGAGAAGAAGCACCGGCCAACUACGUGCCAGCAGCCGCGGUAAUACGUAGGGUGCGAGCGUUGUCCGGAAUUACUGGGCGUAAAGAGCUCGUAGGCGGUUUGUCGCGUCGUCUGUGAAAUUCUGCAACUCAAUUGCAGGCGUGCAGGCGAUACGGGCAGACUUGAGUACUACAGGGGAGACUGGAAUUCCUGGUGUAGCGGUGAAAUGCGCAGAUAUCAGGAGGAACACCGGUGGCGAAGGCGGGUCUCUGGGUAGUAACUGACGCUGAGGAGCGAAAGCGUGGGGAGCGAACAGGAUUAGAUACCCCA